AUACGGGGGGAGCAAGCGUUAUUCGGAAUCACUGGGCGUAAAGGGUGCGUAGGCGGUUUGGUAAGUCUGAUGUGAAAUCCUAUGGCUCAACCAUAGAACUGCAUUGGAAACUGCUAAACUAGAAUACUGAAGGGGCAGAUGGAAUUAGUGGUGUAGGGGUAAAAUCCGUAGAUAUCACUAGGAAUACCGAAAGCGAAAGCGAUCUGCUGGGAAGUUAUUGACGCUGAGGCACGAAAGCGUGGGGAGCAAACGGGAUUAGAUACCCCUGUAGUCC
RNAcentral lists this ribosomal RNA (274 nucleotides) under uncultured bacterium. RNAcentral's name for it is "partial 16S ribosomal RNA". It matches the Rfam family "Bacterial small subunit ribosomal RNA", at positions 523 to 796 of the family's 1533-position model. The record is from RNAcentral.